UUUUUUUAGUAUUUUUAAAAUCAAAAACGAAAUAUGUGAAGAAGAUUCUUCUUUAUCUAAAUUUUGUUCAAAAUUAUUAUUUAAAAAAAAGUUUGUUCUCACGGAUUUUCGUUUUUGUUUUAAUUAUGUAAUAUAGGUUUUGGUUUUCUUUUUUAUCCACGAUUUCCUUUUUGAUUUUAUAAUUCUGUUGAAAAAUAAUUUGGUUUUGCUGAUUUGUCAAAAUUUUAUUGGUGGAGUGACUUGUGCUUUAAAAUAUAAAAGAUUUGUUUUAUUUUU
This 276-nucleotide small RNA is filed under the name Arabidopsis thaliana (thale cress). Its description in RNAcentral is "ATSL069770". The record is from RNAcentral. Lineage: Eukaryota; Viridiplantae; Streptophyta; Magnoliopsida; Brassicales; Brassicaceae.